AGCUCGUAGUAGAAGCUCGGGCUCCGGCCGACUGGUCCGCCUCACCGCGUGCACUGGUUCGGCCGGGCCUUCACCUUCUGCGGAACCGCAUCUCCUUCACUGGGGGUGUCGGGGAAACAGGACGUUUACUGUGAAUAAAUUAGAGUGCUCCAGGCAGGCCUAUGCUCGAAUAGAUUAGCAUGGAAUAAUGGAAUAGGACGUGUGGUCUUAUUUCGUUGGUUUCUAGGACCGCCGUAAUGACUAAUAGGGAUAGUCGGGGGCAUCAGUAUUCAAUUGUCAGAGGUGAAAUUCUUGGAUUAAUUGAAGACUAACUACUGCGAAAGCAUUUGCCAAGGAUGUUUUCAUUAAUCAGUGAACGAAAGUUAGGGGAUCGAAGACGAUCAGAUACCGUCGUAGUCUCAACCAUAAACUAUGCCGACUAGGGAUCGGACGGGCUUCUUUUUUGACCCGUUCGGCACCU
RNAcentral lists this ribosomal RNA (460 nucleotides) under uncultured fungus. RNAcentral's name for it is "SSU rRNA". It matches the Rfam family "Eukaryotic small subunit ribosomal RNA", at positions 625 to 1088 of the family's 1831-position model. The record is from RNAcentral. Lineage: Eukaryota; Fungi.